Molecule: long non-coding RNA, 655 nt
Filed under: Phoenix dactylifera (date palm)
Lineage: Eukaryota; Viridiplantae; Streptophyta; Magnoliopsida; Arecales; Arecaceae
Description: long non-coding RNA (PDAC_LNC001451)
Source: RNAcentral
CACACUACAUUUGUAAAUCAGAAAAAGGCAGUAGCUAAUUCAUUAUUUCUUGUCUAAAACUAUGAUUCUGUUGAAUAAUUUUUUAGUUAUCUGUUGUCCUAUUCUUUGGGUAUUAGUUGGCUACGUGUCUUUAAGCUUCCUAGUUAUCAGGAUUACAUGUUAUAUUGUUUUUUAGUGGCUAAGUGGUUUCUAAGUAGUUGCUAGGUGGUUUCUAAGUAGUUGCUAAGUGGUUGCUAAUUUCUAGCUUAAUUUAGUUGUUGUUUUUAGCCCAUUUUGUAAGGUCGUUUUCUUUCUCUUGAAGAAUAUGAACAGAUGAAUUUCCUCUUCCAAUUGGCUUGAGUUUACAUUCCUUUAGUUUGUUUCACUUGUAAAUCUGUUUAUGCCCAGCAGGUGUUAGCUUUAAUUCCUCAAAGAAUAUUCACCUUAAAGCUUUUGUUCAACUCUGUUUUUCUACAAUUCCAUUAUAUUUUUGGAUUUUGGACUGAUGAAUUCCUGUGAUUGUUAUUGUUCACCUUGCCGAUGGUUAGGUCGCAAUUCGGCUGAUGAUUAUUCUCCCACAGGUCUCAACCUGCUUGUUAUCUGCCAGCCUUCCAAUUUAUCAGUUUGCUUCUUUUGUACUGGCCUCUCUCAGCAACACUCUAGAAGAUAGGAUUAC